UACGUAGGGUGCAAGCGUUGUCCGGAAUUAUUGGGCGUAAAGAGCUCGUAGGCGGUCUGUCGCGUCGGCUGUGAAAACCCGGAGCUCAACUCCGGGUCUGCAGUCGAUACGGGCAAACUGGAGUACUGCAGGGGAGACUGGAAUUCCUGGUGUAGCGGUGAAAUGCGCAGAUAUCAGGAGGAACACCGGUGGCGAAGGCGGGUCUCUGGGCAGUAACUGACGCUGAGGAGCGGAAGCGUGGGGAGCGAACAGG
Molecule: ribosomal RNA, 253 nt
Filed under: uncultured bacterium
Lineage: Bacteria
Description: partial 16S ribosomal RNA
Rfam family: Bacterial small subunit ribosomal RNA
Source: RNAcentral